Molecule: ribosomal RNA, 825 nt
Filed under: Priestia endophytica
Lineage: Bacteria; Bacillati; Bacillota; Bacilli; Caryophanales; Bacillaceae
Description: bacterial SSU rRNA
Rfam family: Bacterial small subunit ribosomal RNA
Source: RNAcentral
GUCGAGCGGAGUUUUGAAAAGCUUGCUUUUCAAAACUUAGCGGCGGACGGGUGAGUAACACGUGGGCAACCUGCCCUUGAGACGGGGAUAACUCCGGGAAACCGGAGCUAAUACCGGAUAACACAUAUCUUCGCAUGAGGAUAUGUUAGAAGGUGGCUUUUAGCUACCACUCAAGGAUGGGCCCGCGGCGCAUUAGCUAGUUGGUGAGGUAACGGCUCACCAAGGCGACGAUGCGUAGCCGACCUGAGAGGGUGAUCGGCCACACUGGGACUGAGACACGGCCCAGACUCCUACGGGAGGCAGCAGUAGGGAAUCUUCCGCAAUGGACGAAAGUCUGACGGAGCAACGCCGCGUGAGUGAUGAAGGUUUUCGGAUCGUAAAGCUCUGUUGUUAGGGAAGAACAAGUACCUGUUAAAUAAGCAGGUACCUUGAGGGUACCUAACCAGAAAGCCACGGCUAACUACGUGCCAGCAGCCGCGGUAAUACGUAGGUGGCAAGCGUUGUCCGGAAUUAUUGGGCGUAAAGCGCGCGCAGGCGGUUCCUUAAGUCUGAUGUGAAAGCCCACGGCUCAACCGUGGAGGGUCAUUGGAAACUGGGGAACUUGAGUGCAGAAGAGGAGAGCGGAAUUCCACGUGUAGCGGUGAAAUGCGUAGAGAUGUGGAGGAACACCAGUGGCGAAGGCGGCUCUCUGGUCUGUAACUGACGCUGAGGCGCGAAAGCGUGGGGAGCGAACAGGAUUAGAUACCCUGGUAGUCCACGCCGUAAACGAUGAGGUGCUAAGUGUUAGAGGGUUUCCGCCCUUUAGUGCUGCAGCAAACUCAUUAA